This 434-nucleotide small RNA is filed under the name Plantago lanceolata (narrow-leaved plantain). Its description in RNAcentral is "eukaryotic LSU rRNA". The stretch from base 294 to 434 matches the Rfam family "Eukaryotic large subunit ribosomal RNA", at positions 1 to 141 of the family's 3401-position model. The record is from RNAcentral. Lineage: Eukaryota; Viridiplantae; Streptophyta; Magnoliopsida; Lamiales; Plantaginaceae.
UGCAGAAUCCCGUGAACCAUCGAGUCUUUGAACGCAAGUUGCGCCCGACGCCUUCGGGCUGAGGGCACGCCUGCCUGGGCGUCACGCAUCGCGUCGUCCCCUCCCAUUCCCUCACGGGUUUGGUUAUGGGACGGAUAAUGGCUUCCCGUUAGCUCGGUUAGCCCAAAAAGGAUCCCUCAUCGACGGAUGUCACAACCAGUGGUGGUUGAAAGAUCAUUGGUGCUGUUGUGCUUCACCCUGUCGCUUGCUAGGGCAUCGUCAUAAACUAACGGCGUGUAAUGCGCCUUCGACCGCGACCCCAGGUCAGACGGGACUACCCGCUGAGUUUAAGCAUAUCAAUAAGCGGUGGAGAAGAAACUUACAAGGAUUCCCCUAGUAACGGCGAGCGAACCGGGAAUAGCCCAACUUGAGAAUCGGGCGGCCACGCCGUCCGA